CUACGGGGGGCUGCAGUGGGGAAUAUUGGACAAUGGGCGAAAGCCUGAUCCAGCCAUGCCGCGUGUGUGAAGAAGGCCUUCGGGUUGUAAAGCACUUUCAGUGGGGAAGAAAGCCUUGGGGCUAAUACCCUCGAGGAAGGACAUCACCCACAGAAGAAGCACCGGCUAACUCCGUGCCAGCAGCCGCGGUAAUACGGAGGGUGCGAGCGUUAAUCGGAAUUACUGGGCGUAAAGCGCGCGUAGGCGGUCUGAUAAGCCGGUUGUGAAAGCCCCGGGCUCAACCUGGGAACGGCAUCCGGAACUGUCAGGCUAGAGUGCAGGAGAGGAAGGUAGAAUUCCCGGUGUAGCAGUGAAAUGCGUAGAGAUCGGGAGGAAUACCAGUGGCGAAGGCGGCCUUCUGGACUGACACUGACGCUGAGGUGCGAAAGCGUGGGUAGCAAACAGGAUUAGAUACCCUAGUAGUC
RNAcentral lists this ribosomal RNA (464 nucleotides) under Vreelandella stevensii. RNAcentral describes it as "partial 16S ribosomal RNA". It matches the Rfam family "Bacterial small subunit ribosomal RNA", at positions 339 to 795 of the family's 1533-position model. Lineage: Bacteria; Pseudomonadati; Pseudomonadota; Gammaproteobacteria; Oceanospirillales; Halomonadaceae. The record is from RNAcentral.